RNAcentral lists this ribosomal RNA (440 nucleotides) under uncultured bacterium. RNAcentral describes it as "partial 16S ribosomal RNA". It matches the Rfam family "Bacterial small subunit ribosomal RNA", at positions 338 to 795 of the family's 1533-position model. The record is from RNAcentral.
CCUACGGGUGGCAGCAGUAGGGAAUAUUGCUCAAUGGGGGACACCCUGAAGCAGCAACGCCGCGUGGAGGAUGAAGGUUUUCGGAUUGUAAACUCCUUUUGUUAGAGAAGAUACUGACGGUGUCUACCGACUAAGCACCGGCUAACUCCUUGCCAGCAGCCGCGGUAAUAAGGAGGGUGCAACCGUUACUCUGAAUCAUUUGGGGUAAAGAGCGCGUCGGCGGGAUAGCAAGUCAGAUGUGAAAUCCUAUGGCUUACCCACAGAACUGAAUUGGAAACUGUUAUUCUAGAGUAUGGGAGAGGUAGGUGGAAUUCUGGGUGUAGGGGUAAAAUCCGUAGAGAUCAAGAGGAAUACUCAUGGCGAAGGCGACCUGCUAGAACAUAACUGACGCUGAUGCGCGAAAGCGUGGGGAGCAAACAGGAUUAGAUACCCGGGUAGUC